This is a long non-coding RNA of Homo sapiens (human), 898 nucleotides long. Ensembl annotates it as PMS1 homolog 2, mismatch repair system component pseudogene 4. Its record names the gene PMS2P4. The record is from Ensembl. NCBI's taxonomy places the organism in Eukaryota, Metazoa, Chordata, Mammalia, Primates, Hominidae.
AUUGAGUCCAUGGAGCGAGCUGAGAGCUAGAGUACAGAACCUGCUAAGGCCAUCAAACCUAUCGAUCGGAAGUCAGUCCAUCAGAUUUGCUCUGGGCCGGUGGUACUGAGUCUAAGCACUGCGGUGAAGGAGUUAGUAGAAAACAGUCUGGAUGCUGGUGCCACCAAUAUUGAUCUAAAGCUUAAGGACUAUGGAGUGGAUCUCAUUGAAGUUUCAGACAAUGGAUGUGGGGUAGAAGAAGAAAACUUUGAAGGCUUAAUCUCUUUCAGCUCUGAAACAUCACACAUGUAAGAUUCAAGAGUUUGCCAACCUAACUGAGGUUGAAACUUUCGGCUUUCAGGGGGAAGCUCUGAGCUCACUGUGUGCACUGAGCGAUGUCACCAUUUCUACCUGCCACGCAUCGGCGAAGGUUGGGACUCGACUGGUGUUUGAUCACGAUGGGAAAAUCAUCCAGAAAACCCCCUACCCCCACCCCAGAGGGACCACAGUCAGCGUGAAGCAGUUAUUUUCUACACUACCUGUGCACCAUAAGGAAUUUCAAAGGAAUAUUAAGAAGGAUGGCCGUAUAAGAAAAUAAACAACUUGCUAAAACUGCUGAAACUCCCUCUGCUUGUGAGAUUUAAAAAAACUGGCUGAAAUUGGUUGGAACCAACAUGUCCAAUGGAGUCUGAAUAGAAAGAGCUUGCUGACAUCACAGCCCGAAUUUCCACCACAUUUCAUACUAACUCCCCCUGAAUUUGCAUAUGCAAACCACAAGCAAGCAUGAUCAAACAGACAACUGCGCGUGUCCGAGGACUUUCCAGAUCUCCCCUUUCCUUCCACCAAUCACUUACUAAUCUGAGAAUCCAUCCCCUAAUAAAAUCACUGCCUUAAAGCCUGCACAGGAAGACAAAUUUGA